Molecule: ribosomal RNA, 468 nt
Filed under: uncultured bacterium
Lineage: Bacteria
Description: partial 16S ribosomal RNA
Rfam family: Bacterial small subunit ribosomal RNA
Source: RNAcentral
GACGAACGCUGGCGGCGUGCUUAACACAUGCAAGUCGAACGGAAAGGCCCUGCUUUUGUUGGUUGCUCGAGUGGCGAACGGGUGAGUAACACGUGAGUAACCUGCCCUUGACUUUGGGAUAACUUCAGGAAACUGGGGCUAAUACCGGAUAGGAGCUCCUGCUGCAUGGUGGUGGUUGGAAAGUUUCGGCGGUUUGGGAUGGUCUCGCGGCUUAUCCGCUUGUUGGUGGGGUAGUGGCUUACCAAGGCUUUGACGGGUAGCCUGCCUGGGAGGGUGAACGGCCACAUUGGGACUGAGAUACGGAGCAGAAUGCAACGGGAGGCAGCAGUGGGGAGUAUGGCACAAUGGGCGGAAGCGUGAUGCAGCAACGUCGCGAGCGGGAUGACGGCCUUCGGGUUAUAAACCGAUUUCGACUGUGACGAAGCGUGAGUGACGGUAAUGGGUAAAGAAGCACCGGCUAACUACGUG